AUUAUUCCUGCUUUCUAAUUUGACAAUGAAACUCGCUCUCACUAUCGAAAACCUGGAAUAGUAGAUUUCACUCAAAAUUACAAAAAUAGUUUUUUGAUAACACAAGAAGUUUGUACGGUGAAAGUACAACUUCCUCAGAUGGACAAUAGCAAUAGUAGCACCUCCCAUCCAAUAGCAAUGGUA
This is a long non-coding RNA of Telopea speciosissima, 183 nucleotides long. RefSeq lists it as uncharacterized. NCBI's taxonomy places the organism in Eukaryota, Viridiplantae, Streptophyta, Magnoliopsida, Proteales, Proteaceae. The record is from RefSeq and is a predicted model, not a curated record. The transcript has 2 exons.